This 262-nucleotide ribosomal RNA is filed under the name uncultured bacterium. RNAcentral's name for it is "partial 16S ribosomal RNA". It matches the Rfam family "Bacterial small subunit ribosomal RNA", at positions 524 to 777 of the family's 1533-position model. The record is from RNAcentral.
GACAGAGGGUGCAAACGUUGUUCGGAAUACUGGGCGUAAAGCGUGCGCAGGCGGUUUUGUAAGUCUGACGUGAAAUCCCCCGGGCUCAACCUGGGAAUUGCGUUUGGAGACUGCAAGGCUGGAGUCUGGCAGAGGGGGGGUAGAAUUCCACGUGUAGCAGUUGAAAAUGCGUAGAGAUGUGGAGGAACACCAGUGGCGAAGGCGGCUCUUUUGGUCUGUAACUGACGCUGAGGCGGCGAAAAGCGUGGGGGAGCAAACAGGG